RNAcentral lists this ribosomal RNA (429 nucleotides) under bacterium. RNAcentral's name for it is "partial 16S ribosomal RNA". It matches the Rfam family "Bacterial small subunit ribosomal RNA", at positions 355 to 776 of the family's 1533-position model. The record is from RNAcentral.
UAGGGAAUCUUCCACAAUGGACGCAAGUCUGAUGGAGCAACGCCGCGUGAGUGAAGAAGGUUUUCGGAUCGUAAAGCUCUGUUGUUGGUGAAGAAGGAUAGAGGCAGUAACUGGUCUUUAUUUGACGGUAAUCAACCAGAAAGUCACGGCUAACUACGUGCCAGCAGCCGCGGUAAUACGUAGGUGGCAAGCGUUGUCCGGAUUUAUUGGGCGUAAAGCGAGCGCAGGCGGAAUGAUAAGUCUGAUGUGAAAGCCCACGGCUCAACCGUGGAACUGCAUCGGAAACUGUCGUUCUUGAGUGCAGAAGAGGAGAGUGGAAUUCCAUGUGUAGCGGUGGAAUGCGUAGAUAUAUGGAAGAACACCAGUGGCGAAGGCGGCUCUCUGGUCUGCAACUGACGCUGAGGCUCGAAAGCAUGGGUAGCGAACAGG